AGCGAACGCUGGCGGCAGGCUUAACACAUGCAAGUCGAGCGGGCGUAGCAAUACGUCAGCGGCAGACGGGUGAGUAACGCGUGGGAACAUACCUUUUGGUUCGGAACAACACAGGGAAACUUGUGCUAAUACCGGAUAAGCCCUUACGGGGAAAGAUUUAUCGCCGAAAGAUUGGCCCGCGUCUGAUUAGCUUGUUGGUGAGGUAACGGCUCACCAAGGCGACGAUCAGUAGCNGGUCUGAGAGGAUGAUCAGCCACAUUGGGACUGAGACACUGCCCAAACUCCUACGGGAGGCAGCAGUGGGGAAUAUUGGACAAUGGGCGCAAGCCUGAUCCAGCCAUGCCGCGUGAGUGAUGAAGGCCCUAGGGCUGUAAAGCUCUUUUACCCGGGAAGAUAAUGACUGUACCGGGAGAAUAAGCCCCGGCUAACUUCGUGCCAGCAGCCGCAGUAAC
RNAcentral lists this ribosomal RNA (452 nucleotides) under uncultured bacterium. Its description in RNAcentral is "bacterial SSU rRNA". It matches the Rfam family "Bacterial small subunit ribosomal RNA", at positions 29 to 524 of the family's 1533-position model. The record is from RNAcentral.